RNAcentral lists this ribosomal RNA (434 nucleotides) under uncultured bacterium. RNAcentral describes it as "partial 16S ribosomal RNA". It matches the Rfam family "Bacterial small subunit ribosomal RNA", at positions 29 to 507 of the family's 1533-position model. The record is from RNAcentral.
AGCGAACGCUGGCGGCAGGCCUAACACAUGCAAGUCGAACGAACCUUUCGGGGUUAGUGGCGGACGGGUGAGUAACACGUGGGAACGUGCCUUUAGGUUCGGAAUAACUCAGGGAAACUUGUGCUAAUACCGAAUGUGCCCUUCGGGGGAAAGAUUAAUCGCCUUUAGAGCGGCCCGCGUCUGAUUAGCUAGUUGGUUGAGGUAAUGGCUCACUAAGGCGACGAUCAGUAGCUGGUCUGAGAGGAUGAUAAGCCACAUUGGGACUGAGACACGGCCCAAACUCCUACGGGAGGCAGCAGUGGGGAAUCUUGCGCAAUGGGCGAAAGCCUGACGCAGCCAUGCCGCGUGAAUGAUGAAGGUCUUAGGAUUGUAAAAUUCUUUCACCGGGGACGAUAAUGACGGUACCCGGAGAAGAAGCCCCGGCUAACUUCGUG